UCCCAUUUUGCUGAAGAAAGCGCCGGCCCAACGCCUCGCUAAAACCCUUCUCCUCCCUCCCCUCUGCACUGUGAAUUUCUGAGCUUCAACUGAACUCCCAUGGCGGCCUUGGAGCUCCUACUUUCUCAAGCUCGCCGCCAUUGCUUCACAAAAACCAAUUCCUACAAACAGCUAUCUCUCCGACUUCGCUCUCCAUUGCUAGGGUUCCACAGAUCACUUUGCUCCUCCUCAUCUCCCGAACCAAGCCCCCCAGCCGAGACUCGGCCUGAUAAAUCCCCAAGGAGAUCCCAGCCACCACCAGUACAAGCCGUCUCAUACCCUGUGAAACCGAAAGAACCAUCCCCGCCUCAGGAAGAUCCUCCGCAAUCGAGUCCGCCCCAGCCGCCUAGCCGGGCGAGGGAGCCGCGACGUUCCGACUCCGACAAGCCGGAGACUAGGUCUUGGACUCGGGAGGAUAUUCGGUAUGUGAAGGACAUUCCGAAGGUAUCUCCGGUGUCGUAUCCAUCUCGGGUGGCGCCGCUGCCCGAGGACAGGGCGGCAGAGGCCGAGGAGGAGGGGAAGGAGGAAGUGAGGGUUGAGAAUUUGGAGAAAGAAAGAAAGAGAAUCGAGGCUGAUACGAGGAGGAGGAUUAGGUGGGAUUUUAGGGCUGAAGAGGAGAAGGUUCCAUUUCCGACUCUGAUCAAGCAGGUGAGCAAGAAAGAGAAGGUUAUAUAUGAUCUUCAGGAAGCAGUUCGUCUCAUCAAGGCCAAUGCCAAGUCAAGUUUCAAUGAAACUGUGGAAAUACACGUAAAUCUUGCUGCUGAAUUACGUCGAACUGAUCUGAAGCUUGAUGGUAUGGCAUCAUUGCCACAUGGUACCGGGAAGGCUGUCAAAAUUGCUGUUUUUGCUGAAGGAUCUGCUGCAGAUGAAGCCAGAGCUGCAGGAGCUGAUAUUGUUGGUAGUGUUGAACUCAUUGAAGGAAUAAAGAAUGGCAGUGUUAAGGUUGACUUUGAUAUAUGCAUUACAACUCAUCAAUUUGUUCAACGUCUUCAAAAGCUAGGGAAUGUCCUUCGCAGUCGGAUGCCAAGUACUAAAGCUGGUACUGUAACUGACAAUGUUGCUAAGACAGUAAAAGAAGCGAAACGAGUUGUUAAGAUUAACAAAAAGGACAAAGCUGCAGUAGUGCAUGCUGGGAUUGGGAAGGUGAGUUUCACAGAGGAGGCUUUAUGCGAGAAUGUUGGUGCAUUUGUCAAUGCUCUUUUGCUUGCAAAGCCUGCAGGGUUGAAAAAGAGUUCCAAAUAUGCUGGUUACGUGAACUCUGUCCACUUAUGUAGCACGCGACAACAAUGACGGCGAUGGUGGGGACAUUUCGUCACGGCGGUAGCGACAACGAUACAAUAGAUGGGUCCUGGCUUUCCUGUUUCUAUACAAUCAUUGUCCCUAGCUGCAGACCGCUACCACAAAUUGCAACUGAACUGAAGUAAAACGAUUACAAUUUUGGGUUUGAGGUCUGAUUGAAUUUGCCUUUUUCUGUUGAGCUCUCUCUCUGUAUGAUCACAGAAGCAGGGUCUUUCCCUGUUCAACCCUUCCCUGGGGUAAAAAUGAUAUCCAAUUGUUUUAUGAUGGUAAGGUUAACUGCAAUAGGGUUGUGGCUGUGACAAUUCCAGAUUGUCCAGGUCGCCCUCUGCCCGCCCCCAACCCCCUCGAGUCUCUGAAGUUUU
RNA transcript from Diospyros lotus (date-plum), 1700 nucleotides. RefSeq lists it as uncharacterized. Lineage: Eukaryota; Viridiplantae; Streptophyta; Magnoliopsida; Ericales; Ebenaceae. The transcript has 11 exons. The record is from RefSeq and is a predicted model, not a curated record.